UCCGUGGUAGUAUAGAGGUGAGUAUCCCUGCCUGUCACGCAGGUGACCGGGGUUCGAUUCCCCGCCAUGGAG
This is a transfer RNA of 72 nucleotides. It matches the Rfam family "tRNA". Rfam says of the family: Transfer RNA (tRNA) molecules are approximately 80 nucleotides in length. Their secondary structure includes four short double-helical elements and three loops (D, anti-codon, and T loops). The record is from Rfam.